GACGAACGCUGGCGGCGUGCUUAACACAUGCAAGUCGAACGAAGAGCGAUGGAAGCUUGCUUCUAUCAAUCUUAGUGGCGAACGGGUGAGUAACGCGUAAUCAACCUGCCCUUCAGAGGGGGACAACAGUUGGAAACGACUGCUAAUACCGCAUACGAUCUAAUCUCGGCAUCGAGGAUAGAUGAAAGGUGGCCUCUACAUGUAAGCUAUCACUGAAGGAGGGGAUUGCGUCUGAUUAGCUAGUUGGAGGGGUAACGGCCCACCAAGGCGAUGAUCAGUAGCCGGUCUGAGAGGAUGAACGGCCACAUUGGGACUGAGACACGGCCCAGACUCCUACGGGAGGCAGCAGUGGGGAAUCUUCCGCAAUGGACGAAAGUCUGACGGAGCAACGCCGCGUGAGUGAUGACGGCCUUCGGGUUGUAAAGCUCUGUUAAUCGGGACGAAAGGCCUUCUUGCGAAUACGUGAGAAGGAUUGACG
This 478-nucleotide ribosomal RNA is filed under the name Veillonella parvula. Its description in RNAcentral is "bacterial SSU rRNA". It matches the Rfam family "Bacterial small subunit ribosomal RNA", at positions 28 to 474 of the family's 1533-position model. The record is from RNAcentral. Lineage: Bacteria; Bacillati; Bacillota; Negativicutes; Veillonellales; Veillonellaceae.